UACGCGUAGAGUCGAUUGGAGGUGUGCCCUUGAGGCGUGGCUUCCGAAGCUAACGCGUUAAAUCGACCGCCUGGGGAGUACGGCCGCAAGGUUAAAACUCAAAUGAAUUGACGGGGGCCCGCACAAGCGGUGGAGCAUGUGGUUUAAUUCGAUGCAACGCGAAGAACCUUACCUACUCUUGACAUCCAGCGAAUCCUGUAGAGAUACGGGAGUGCCUUCGGGAACGCUGAGACAGGUGCUGCAUGGCUGUCGUCAGCUCGUGUUGUGAAAUGUUGGGUUAAGUCCCGCAACGAGCGCAACCCUUAUCCUUUGUUGCCAGCGGUUCGGCCGGGAACUCAAAGGAGACUGCCAGUGAUAAACUGGAGGAAGGUGGGGAUGACGUCAAGUCAUCAUGGCCCUUACGAGUAGGGCUACACACGUGCUACAAUGGCGUAUACAAAGAGAAGCGACCUCGCGAGAGCAAGCGGACCUCAUAAAGUACGUCGUAGUCCGGAUUGGAGUCUGCAACUCGACUCCAUGAAGUCGGAAUCGCUAGUAAUCGUGGAUCAGAAUGCCACGGUGAAUACGUUUCCCGGG
Molecule: ribosomal RNA, 576 nt
Filed under: Edwardsiella tarda
Lineage: Bacteria; Pseudomonadati; Pseudomonadota; Gammaproteobacteria; Enterobacterales; Hafniaceae
Description: bacterial SSU rRNA
Rfam family: Bacterial small subunit ribosomal RNA
Source: RNAcentral